Molecule: long non-coding RNA, 1003 nt
Organism: Carassius gibelio (silver crucian carp)
Lineage: Eukaryota; Metazoa; Chordata; Actinopteri; Cypriniformes; Cyprinidae
Exons: 3
Source: RefSeq, a predicted model, not a curated record
AUAAAUAGAGAAUAAUAGUAAAAUUAAUUAAUAAAAUUAAAGUAAAAUAUAAAUAGUAAAAUUAUAUGGUUCUAUUUUCCCAGUCACCUGAACACACCCUUCAUUCAUCGUGCAGGAGUCACAUGGUAGGUUCAGUGAAUGCUUUCAACCAAUCAUAGCAUGCAAGCAUGUUUUUACAAGCUGCGGUGAGUUUCCCCAACCAGUAGUGUGAAGGGGAAGCCACCGGAACAGUUGCAUUCGUGUCAACCGCCGUCGUCUUUAGAAGCCGACUAGUGCCGCGGUGCGUCGAAUAUCUGUAGGAAUUGGCCAGGUGCGGCCAGUUGAUGGCGAGCAAUUAUUACCUGGAACAGAACCUGCCUCAACAACAUCAUCGCCACCUGUGGGUUCGGUAGGAGGUUGUGCAGCUUUGCUCACUCCCUCACUCUCAUUACACACACACACACACACACACACACACACACACACGGUUCUGGCUCAUGGACUAAUUGCAUCUCACGGACCGUUCACAUUAUUUGGACAUGGUGUUCAUCUUUUAUGAGCAAAGAAUAUAGUCCUAUACUGUGUUGUGAAUUGUCUUUAAAUUGAGUACUCUCCAGUUUUUCUGAGUUACAAGUUGUUGUUUACCCUCUGUGAACUACUGAACUUCUCUGCAGAUUUGAAAUAAUUUUGGGUAUUGUUGUUAUUGUUUGUCUUUGUUUUCACUUAAUACAUGGUACCAACACAAAAUCUAAAUUAUCUGUCUCUGUGUUAUUAUUUGCUUUUUCAACACCUCCCUCAGACGAACUUUAUCUUUUGUAAUCCAAUUAUUAAUUAACAAUCUAUAGCUAUAUUUAACACGCAUACCCUGUGUAUAUGCUACACAUACAUCAGUGGAAAGAUUAUAUAUUCAGCUUUAAAGAAAUUGACUUGACUUCUGACUGGUUUUGUGGUCCAUGGUCACAUAUAACAUCAUGUUUCAUCCCAAAGACAGAUGAUUUAUAAGCUUAUAUCCAGUAUAUUAUCA